This 468-nucleotide ribosomal RNA is filed under the name uncultured bacterium. RNAcentral's name for it is "partial 16S ribosomal RNA". It matches the Rfam family "Bacterial small subunit ribosomal RNA", at positions 28 to 507 of the family's 1533-position model. The record is from RNAcentral.
GACGAACGCUGGCGGCGUGCUUAACACAUGCAAGUCGAACGGAAAGGCCCUGCUUUUGUGGGGUGCUCGAGUGGCGAACGGGUGAGUAACACGUGAGUAACCUGCCCUUGACUUUGGGAUAACUUCAGGAAACUGGGGCUAAUACCGGAUAGGAGCUCCUGCUGCAUGGUGGGGGUUGGAAAGUUUCGGCGGUUGGGGAUGGACUCGCGGCUUAUCAGCUUGUUGGUGGGGUAGUGGCUUACCAAGGCUUUGACGGGUAGCCGGCCUGAGAGGGUGACCGGCCAAAUUGGGCCUGAGAUACGGCCAAGACUCCAACGGGGGGAAGCGGUGGGAAAUAUUGCAAAAUGGGCGGAAGCCUGAUGCAGCAACGCCGCGUGCGGGAUGACGGCCUUCGGGUUGUAAACCGCUUUCGCCUGUGACGAAGCGUGAGUGACGGUAAUGGGUAAAGAAGCACCGGCUAACUACGUG